Molecule: microRNA, 22 nt
Filed under: Oryzias latipes (Japanese medaka)
Lineage: Eukaryota; Metazoa; Chordata; Actinopteri; Beloniformes; Adrianichthyidae
Description: ola-miR-30d-3p
Gene: ola-miR-30d-3p
Source: miRBase by way of RNAcentral
CUUUCAGUCUGAUGUUUGCAGC